GUGAACGCUGGCGGCGUGGAUAAGGCAUGCAAGUCAAAAGGGUUUAGACGCAAGUUUAAAUACCUUGGCAGACGAGGUAGUAACACGUGGGUAUCUUCCCUCAAGUCAGGAAUAUUCCGUCGAAAGACGGCGCAAUACCUGAUGGUCUCUACGGAGUAAAGAUUUAUCGCUUGAGGAGGAGCCUGCGCAGUAUCAGCUAGUUGGUAGGGUAACGGCCUACCAAGGCUAUGACGCUUGGGGGAGCUGAGAGGCUGACCCCCACCGAGGGAACUGAGACACGGACCCUACUUCUACGGAGGGCAGCAGCCGAGAAUAUUCCGCAAUGGACGAAAGUCUGACGGAGCGACGCCGCGUGGUGGAUGAAGUCCUUCGGGACGUAAACACCUUUUAUGGGGGAAGACAUUUCGACUGUACCCCAGGAAUAAGGGGCUCCUAACUCUGU
Molecule: ribosomal RNA, 442 nt
Filed under: uncultured bacterium
Lineage: Bacteria
Description: bacterial SSU rRNA
Rfam family: Bacterial small subunit ribosomal RNA
Source: RNAcentral